CUGAGUUCCGGUGCUAGUGUCAGCCCACUGAUGUGAGGAGCUGGGUUCUAGAAUUUUUGGCUGUGAGAUCAGAGGACCUGGAGCUGGUGCUAGCCUGCUGGUGGAUGGUGUUAUGGCAUACAUGUACCCAGGGCUGGUAUUGGCCCAUUGGUUAGCAGAAUAGGAUCCUAGGGUCUCUUGCUACAAGGCCCUGGUUGUCUCAAAGUUCAUUUUGACCUGUGAGGGAUGUGAUGCUUGUUCUAGACUGCUGUUUAGGAAGAAUGUCUUGGAUCCUGAUGCUCACCAAGGAACACUCUCUGUGCUAUGGGACUGUUGCUAUUUAAUUUGUUUAUCUCAUUCCUAAGCCAGGGUAAGUGAAAUCCAUAACUUAGGAAGAUUUCCUUCCUGAAUAAGCUAUUCUUAUAAAACUGUAAAAUCAACACUUCACUGAAUGUCCAGG
This 439-nucleotide long non-coding RNA is filed under the name Capra hircus (goat). RNAcentral's name for it is "lncRNA (ENSCHIG00000002070.1)". The record is from RNAcentral. Lineage: Eukaryota; Metazoa; Chordata; Mammalia; Artiodactyla; Bovidae.